GCGCCCUUGGGGGACAGAUUUGGCUUGCUAGAGCCAAGUUCGUCCCGUACGCCGCGGUCUACGGAACCGAAGGUCACAGGUUCGAAUCCUGUCGGGCGCG
This 100-nucleotide transfer RNA is filed under the name Actinomycetota bacterium. Its description in RNAcentral is "tRNA-Arg". Lineage: Bacteria; Bacillati; Actinomycetota. The record is from RNAcentral.